Molecule: ribosomal RNA, 253 nt
Filed under: uncultured bacterium
Lineage: Bacteria
Description: partial 16S ribosomal RNA
Rfam family: Bacterial small subunit ribosomal RNA
Source: RNAcentral
UACAGAGGUCCCAAGCGUUACUGAGAAUCACUGGGUUUAAAGGGUGCGUAGGUGGUCCGUUAAGUCAGUUGUGAAAUCCCCGGGCUCAACCCGGGAACUGCUUCUGAUACUGGUUGGCUUGAAUCCGGGAGAGGGAUGUGGAAUUCCAGGUGUAGCGGUGAAAUGCGUAGAUAUCUGGAGGAACACCGGUGGCGAAGGCGACAUCCUGGACCGGUAUUGACGCUGAGGCGCGAAAGCCAGGGGAGCGAACGGG